RNAcentral lists this ribosomal RNA (255 nucleotides) under uncultured bacterium. Its description in RNAcentral is "partial 16S ribosomal RNA". It matches the Rfam family "Bacterial small subunit ribosomal RNA", at positions 212 to 465 of the family's 1533-position model. The record is from RNAcentral.
CUUGUGCUAUUGGAAUGGCCGAUAUCUGAUUAGCUAGUUGGUAGGGUAAAAGCCUACCAAGGCGACGAUCAGUAGCUGGUCUGAGAGGACGACCAGCCACACUGGAACUGAGACACGGUCCAGACUCCUACGGGAGGCAGCAGUGGGGAAUUUUGGACAAUGGGGGCAACCCUGAUCCAGCAAAGGCGCGUGAGUGAAGAAGGCCCUCGGGUUGUAAAGCUCAAGGUCAGGGAAGAAACGGAGUUCUCUAAUAUA